CUCUGGUUCUGCUCCUAGCUGGCUGCAUGGCAUUGUACAGUACACUUAAACUCUUCUGAACCCCAGAUUCCUCAUCAGGGAUAACCCUUUCUCUGCCUAUCUUAUAGCACUAGUGGGGCUCAAAGGAGAGAACGGAUGUGAACGUGUUUUAAACUUCUAAGUGCUCUGCACACGAGGGCCUUUCUCAUGAAGAAUGUCUUCUUCUCUCCUUCCUAUACCUCAUGCCCAUCACCUGUCAAAUCUGGAACGAGCCUAUUUUACAGUAGAGGUCUGGUAGAGGUCUGGGGGAAGGGUGGUGUCAGUAUCUUGGGGUUCUCUCUAGGCCCUGGUCAGUGAGCUGUCAGAGCACUUGAGGGACCCCCUGACCUCCCUGAGCCGCACUGAGCUGGAAGCCGCAGAGGUCAUCCUGGAGCAUGCCCACCGCGGGGAGCAGACAACCUCCCAGGUAAGCUGGGAGCAAGACCUGAAGCUGUUUCUUCAGGAGCCUGGUGUAUUUUCCCCCACCCCACCUCAGCAGUUUCAGCCAGCAGGGACUGAUCAGGUGUGUGUCCUGGAGUGGGGAGCAGAAGGCGUGGCUGGCAAGAGUGGCCUG
RNAcentral lists this small RNA (592 nucleotides) under Pan troglodytes (chimpanzee). RNAcentral's name for it is "processed transcript". The record is from RNAcentral. Lineage: Eukaryota; Metazoa; Chordata; Mammalia; Primates; Hominidae.